Molecule: ribosomal RNA, 184 nt
Filed under: Leucetta microraphis
Lineage: Eukaryota; Metazoa; Porifera; Calcarea; Clathrinida; Leucettidae
Description: 28S ribosomal RNA
Rfam family: Eukaryotic large subunit ribosomal RNA (bases 111-184)
Source: RNAcentral
UCAGUCCGUCGUGUUGCAGCUGCCGUAGGGUGCACUUGACAUCAUGCUGGCUCAAAUCGUUCGAAACAAGCCAUCUCUGGAGAACUUUCGCGUGUAAAGCGCAACACCUUCGACCUGAGAUCAGGCAAGACUACCCGCUGAAUUUAAGCAUAUUAAUAAGCGGAGGAAAAGAAACUAACCAGGA